Long non-coding RNA from Diceros bicornis minor, 744 nucleotides. RefSeq lists it as uncharacterized. The transcript has 5 exons. The record is from RefSeq and is a predicted model, not a curated record. NCBI's taxonomy places the organism in Eukaryota, Metazoa, Chordata, Mammalia, Perissodactyla, Rhinocerotidae.
ACACAGUCUCAAAAAUUUUACCUCUUAUGUGCACUUUCUCAGGAGUCUGUGCUCUGCCCAAAGAAGAAAACUAAGAGAGAGAAAGACGCAGAAUCCAGGAAAAAAGAAAUCCCAUGCAAAAGCCGGAAAGAAGACCCCAAAAUAAUAGCUAAGCUUCAGCCAGUCCAGAUGUGGGAAGUCGGAAGGCUCAUGGGAGAAUUUAUUUAGGAGGAUGAAAUUGAUGUUUAAUAUAGUGGUGGAAGUAUGGAGGCAAAUAUCCUAAGAAUCAGUUAAAACGGCUGAAUGUGGCUGCCUCUGGGGAACAAAAAUUGGAAAGAGCAUCAGCUACCUCCUGAAUCACUGCCCAGUUGCCAGCUGCAAGUCCCAGCUCCAAAAACCGAUAUUCAUGGAAAUGUGCUUAGAAUGCCAUCACUGUUGGUUUCUGCUUAAUCCUCUGGGGCCAGAUUGCCUGGAUUUCAAUCAGUGGUGUGCUGGAACCUCCUGAAACAGGCUGUGGCAAGGCAAAGGACGGAUGACUGAAAUGAGUUGACAACAAUUAAGAAAUAAAAGAAAAGUGACAGCUGGAUUUACGACCUUCAGGAAUUUAACAUUUUCUAGACAUUUGUGUAUGACAUUUGACGUGGUAAUACCCAGAGUUCUCAGAGCUAUAGGAGAUUUUUGUGUGUUUUAGCUAUGAAAGAACUAUCUGUCUCAAAAGGAAAAACAUAGAGUGAAAACUAUGACUAGGAAAGUAGAGAAUGAAGG